Molecule: transfer RNA, 81 nt
Filed under: Aspergillus tubingensis CBS 134.48
Lineage: Eukaryota; Fungi; Ascomycota; Eurotiomycetes; Eurotiales; Aspergillaceae
Rfam family: tRNA
About the family: Transfer RNA (tRNA) molecules are approximately 80 nucleotides in length.
Source: Rfam by way of RNAcentral
GCCCCUGUGGCGCAAUCGGUAGCGCGUAAGACUUCUAUGACAUGGUCAUCUUAAGGCUGUGGGUGAGCCCCACCAGGGGCU